GAAGUUUUAGUUCAAGCAUUUCACCAAACGUUUGGUGUGUGAGUUUCAGAACGGCAUACAUGUUAUCAAAUUCAAAACAGAACCGAAACUAACAUCAGCCAUAACACAGCAAUAACAACAACAUACUCAUGUAAAACAAACUAAACACGAUUCUGAACCUAAAUUGCAUAAGAUGAACUGAGUCAAACUCGGUUUCCAAACCCAUCCAAAUCCAAAACCAAAACCGAAUUCUAAAUCAAAUUGGAAUUCGAAUCGAUUGAGAUAUGAGCAGAUUAAUGUUGUUAUUGUGUGAGCAUCACCCGAGCGACUUGGUCACUUUUGCAUCAACUGGAAGCGCUUAUGGCAAAAAAAGGUAAAAAUCACAUUUUGCAGGAAUCACUUCUGGAAAUGCGAUUCUGAGUUGCACGCUUUCUCGUUCCUGGGUUUUC
RNAcentral lists this long non-coding RNA (428 nucleotides) under Lathyrus oleraceus (garden pea). RNAcentral's name for it is "Pisum sativum (pea) long non-coding RNA (PSAT_LNC030570)". Lineage: Eukaryota; Viridiplantae; Streptophyta; Magnoliopsida; Fabales; Fabaceae. The record is from RNAcentral.